This is a ribosomal RNA of Fukomys damarensis (Damara mole-rat), 119 nucleotides long. Lineage: Eukaryota; Metazoa; Chordata; Mammalia; Rodentia; Bathyergidae. The record is from Ensembl.
AUCUAUGUCUAUACCACCCUGAAUGUGCCUGGUCUCAUCUGAUCUUGGAAGCUAAGCAGAGUCAGGCUUGGUUAGUACUUGGAUGGGAGAAGUAGCAAGAAUGUAGGAAUGUAUGGAUG